RNAcentral lists this ribosomal RNA (580 nucleotides) under uncultured bacterium. RNAcentral describes it as "bacterial SSU rRNA". It matches the Rfam family "Bacterial small subunit ribosomal RNA", at positions 811 to 1397 of the family's 1533-position model. The record is from RNAcentral.
GAAUACUAGGUGUGGGAGGACUGACCCCUUCCGUGCCGCAUUAACACAAUAAGUAUUCCACCUGGGGAGUACGGCCGCAAGGCUGAAACUCAAAGGAAUUACGGGGGCCCGCACAAGCAGUGGAUUAUGUGGUUUAAUUCGACGCAACGCGAAGAACCUUCCAGGACUUGACAUCCAACUAACGAAGUAGAGAUACAUUAGGUGCCCUUCGGGGAAAGUUAGACAGGUGGUGCAUGGUUGUCGUCAGCUCGUGUCGUGAGAUGUUGGGUUAGGUCCCGCACGAGCGCAACCCCUGCCUGUAGUAGCCAGCAUGUAAAGAUGGGAACUCUACAGGGACUGCGGGGUCAACCCGGAGGAAGGUGGGGAUGACGUCAAAUCAUCAUGCCCCUUACGGCCUGGGGACACACGUGCUACAAUGGCACAACAAAGAGACGCGAUCCCGCGAGGGGGAGCAAACCUCAAAAUAGUGUCCCAGUUCGGACUGUAGUCUGCAACCCGACUACACGAAGCCGGAAUCGCUGUAAUCGCGGAUCAGAAUGCCGCGGUGAAUACGUUCCCGGGUCUUGCACUCACCGCCCGU